Long non-coding RNA from Triticum aestivum (bread wheat), 511 nucleotides. RefSeq lists it as uncharacterized. NCBI's taxonomy places the organism in Eukaryota, Viridiplantae, Streptophyta, Magnoliopsida, Poales, Poaceae. The record is from RefSeq and is a predicted model, not a curated record. The transcript is spliced from 2 exons.
CUUUUAUACUGGUAUUUAAGGUGAUUAGGUGAAUGAGAAAGAGCAGCCGAGAGGACUGGGCAAAAAUGUAGUGUUUGUGUGACCAAGGAGGAGAGCUCUCGGCAAAGCUGGUGCUGGUGUCUUCCUUGGCGUGUGUGUAUGUGUGGAGUUUUCUCAUCAUGUGUGUGUUCUUGAGAGAAAUUACAAGUGAGAGUUGUGUGAGAAAGAAGACGAAGCGGUGCUGCGAGGAGGCCGCGCCAACAUUGUUUGCUCCAGCAAAUUUGAUCUUAAGUCUUCACUUUCUUUUCUAUGGUUGUACAGAAUUACCUGAUGAUGGAGGGUGGAGCUGUCCUUUGGAGAAUUGUUUAAAGAACUAAGAAGUAAUAACACCAUGUCUUGUUCAAGUGCCAAAUCAGCAUUACAAUGCGCUGAUGUAUGGCAUCCGUCCAUGUUGAUUAUUGGAGCCUUUGAUAAUUAGGAGAUGCAUGCAUCACCUAUGAUAAUUAAUACAUGUCUGCACAAAAUUUGUCCA